UAUACGUUGGGGCUGUGGCGAUUCAUUCAACUCGAUUUUUACCGGAACAACAGGCGCUGCUCGAAAGACAACGACGGAAAAUAGAGAGCCGCUAUAAAGUCCGCUAAUUUGCACAUUACAGCACUACAAAGCGAUAUAUGAACACAUCGUAAACAGCAACCACUCGCUCACACACACAAGAAACGAGGUACCCAACGUUGCUAGACACCAUCCGAACUCCGAAGUGAGAGUAGCAAAACAACAAGAUAUCAAAACACGAAAGGAAGAGUAUUGAUCCCCCCUCCUUCUAUAGCAUGCAAAACGUGAUUUGCGCUGAGAUGAACAUAUAUGUUCAUGACGCGAGUAAUUUUCACUUUUCACUGAUCCAAAGGAGGUCACGUGGGAUUGCUCGACGCUUGCGAAAUCAACAAUGAAAAUGGCGAAACGAAACUUGUGAAUCGUGCAUUUGCUCUUCAUGGUAGCUGCCAAAAAAUCGAAUCAAACUUAUGGGACACUGGAUUACAGGUUGCUGCCACUACUCCAUGUGCCCGCAAUUGUCUUGCGUGUAUGAUUACACUAACGGCGUCGCCCACCACGGCGGAAGUGUUUUGCGUACACGCGUUUCAGCAUGAAGCCUGCAGGUGGACGUAAAUUGUAGAAGGCAGCUAGUGGGGGAGAAGAUCAUGGUCAUAGGUCAUGUGACUCCUGGAGCUCCCAGUGGGCUCCCUUGUGGAGUACUUUUCAGAACACACACACAUACAGUUUGCUCACAGAACCAACGAGUAGGAUGUUGCUUGAAUACUGAGAGAAAAUGGCGUAACACAUACAAAUAUCGUGUGACACAUAUGACAAUAAAAACAUUUUUCACGAGGGAUGCAUGAAACACUGUCGCAAUAUUGUGUGCAUGAACCAUUGUGUGUGACACAAGCCGUGGGGGCACACCGCCUCGGACACAUUUUGGGAAGCAUAAAACACAGUAUAUACAGAGCUACUAUGGUGGAU
Long non-coding RNA from Ornithodoros turicata, 981 nucleotides. RefSeq lists it as uncharacterized. Lineage: Eukaryota; Metazoa; Arthropoda; Arachnida; Ixodida; Argasidae. The transcript is spliced from 3 exons. The record is from RefSeq and is a predicted model, not a curated record.